This 441-nucleotide ribosomal RNA is filed under the name uncultured bacterium. RNAcentral describes it as "partial 16S ribosomal RNA". It matches the Rfam family "Bacterial small subunit ribosomal RNA", at positions 338 to 795 of the family's 1533-position model. The record is from RNAcentral.
CCUACGGGAGGCAGCAGUGGGGAAUAUUGCACAAUGGGGGAAACCCUGAUGCAGCAACGCCGCGUGAGUGAAGAAGUAUUUCGGUAUGUAAAGCUCUAUCAGUAGGGAAGAAGAAAGACGGUACCUGACUAAGAAGCCCCGGCUAACUACGUUCCAGCCGCCGGGGUAAUACGUAGGGGGCCAGCGUUAACCGGGUUUACUGGGUGGAAAGGGAGCGUAAACGGCUGUGCAAGUCUGAAGUGAAAGCCCGUGGCCCAAACGCUGAACUGCGUUGGAAACUGUGUAGCUUGAGUGCUGGAGAGGCAGGCGGAAUUCCUAGUGUAGCGGUGAAAUGCGUAGAUAUUAGGAGGAACACCAGUGGCGAAGGCGGCCUGCUGGACAGAAACUGACGUUGAGGCUCGAAAGCGUGGGGAGCAAACAGGAUUAGAUACCCCAGUAGUC